This 470-nucleotide ribosomal RNA is filed under the name uncultured organism. Its description in RNAcentral is "partial 16S ribosomal RNA". It matches the Rfam family "Bacterial small subunit ribosomal RNA", at positions 335 to 797 of the family's 1533-position model. The record is from RNAcentral.
ACUCCUGCGGGAGGCAGCAGUGGGGAAUUUUGGACAAUGGGCGAAAGCCUGAUCCAGCAAUGCCGCGUGUGUGAAGAAGGCCUUCGGGUUGUAAAGCACUUUUGUCCGGAAAGAAAUCCUUGGCUCUAAUACAGUCGGGGGAUGACGGUACCGGAAGAAUAAGCACCGGCUAACUACGUGCCAGCAGCCGCGGUAAUACGUAGGGUGCGAGCGUUAAUCGGAAUUACUGGGCGUAAAGCGUGCGCAGGCGGUUUGCUAAGACCGAUGUGAAAUCCCCGGGCUCAACCUGGGAACUGCAUUGGUGACUGGCAGGCUAGAGUAUGGCAGAGGGGGGUAGAAUUCCACGUGUAGCAGUGAAAUGCGUAGAGAUGUGGAGGAAUACCGAUGGCGAAGGCAGCCCCCUGGGCCAAUACUGACGCUCAUGCACGAAAGCGUGGGGAGCAAACAGGAUUAGAAACCCCGGUAGUCCC